Geobacillus kaustophilus HTA426 is the source of this 72-nucleotide transfer RNA. It matches the Rfam family "tRNA". From Rfam's summary of the family: Transfer RNA (tRNA) molecules are approximately 80 nucleotides in length. Their secondary structure includes four short double-helical elements and three loops (D, anti-codon, and T loops). Further hydrogen bonds mediate the characteristic L-shaped molecular structure. tRNAs have two regions of fundamental functional importance: the anti-codon, which is responsible for specific mRNA codon recognition, and the 3' end, to which the tRNAs corresponding amino acid is attached (by aminoacyl-tRNA synthetases). tRNAs cope with the degeneracy of the genetic code in two manners: having more than one tRNA (with a specific anti-codon) for a particular amino acid; and 'wobble' base-pairing, i.e. permitting non-standard base-pairing at the 3rd anti-codon position. The record is from Rfam. Lineage: Bacteria; Bacillati; Bacillota; Bacilli; Caryophanales; Anoxybacillaceae.
GCGGAAGUAGUUCAGCGGUAGAACACCACCUUGCCAAGGUGGGGGUCGCGGGUUCGAGCCCCGUCUUCCGCU